This 314-nucleotide unclassified non-coding RNA is filed under the name Hevea brasiliensis (rubber tree). The record is from RNAcentral. Lineage: Eukaryota; Viridiplantae; Streptophyta; Magnoliopsida; Malpighiales; Euphorbiaceae.
AAGUUCAAGACUCUGCUGAGGAUUCACUGCUUAGCUCCGAAUUGAAUCUUGAUGUUCUGAAAGAGGCUAGGAUGUUCCACUUUAAUUCUGAAGUCUUGACAUCUUCAUCUAUGCGUUCAACUCUUUUUAAAGCAAUUACAUUGUCAAAGAAGUUUGGUGGUCUUGUAUUUUUUGACUUAAAUCUGCCAUUGCCUCUGUGGAGAUCACGUGACGAAACAAGGGAUUUGAUCAAGGAAGCCUGGCAGCAAGCUAACAUCAUUGAGGUUUCGAGGCAAGAGCUUGAAUUUCUUCUUGACGAAGAGCAUUACGAGAGG